RNAcentral lists this ribosomal RNA (253 nucleotides) under uncultured bacterium. Its description in RNAcentral is "partial 16S ribosomal RNA". It matches the Rfam family "Bacterial small subunit ribosomal RNA", at positions 524 to 776 of the family's 1533-position model. The record is from RNAcentral.
UACGUAGGGUGCAAGCGUUAAUCGGAAUUACUGGGCGUAAAGCGUGCGCAGGCGGUUCUAUAAGACAGAUGUGAAAUCCCCGGGCUCAACCUGGGAACUGCAUUUGUGACUGUAGAGCUGCAGUGCGGCAGAGGGGGAUGGAAUUCCGCGUGUAGCAGUGAAAUGCGUAGAUAUGCGGAGGAACACCGAUGGCGAAGGCAAUCCCCUGGGCCUGCACUGACGCUCAUGCACGAAAGCGUGGGGAGCAAACAGG